UGACAGAAGGAAAAGACGGAAAUACGCAGCUGGUAUAAAUAAAGCAUUGGGCGAGGGAAGGCUGACCGAAUAUCAGUUUGAACAACGCUUUAUUGUUUCAUUUCCGAGACCUGAAGACCAUUUAGAACACCCCACUGCCAAGGACACGCCAUCUACUACUCUGGAAGUCGAAGAGCAUCAAGUGUCGGCUCCAGUCGCAGAUCGCGACUCAAGUGGAACAGCGUCAGCUGUGGAUCAGAAGCGGGUGCUGCGGUCAAGGUCGAAGGAAGAACCACCAGCUGAACACCAGUAUGCCAGGAAAAGAACCAGGGAGCGACUGUUCACGACACAAAAACUGGACUGUGGCGCAAAAGUGCAUGUCAGAGAGACGCUGUGCUUUCCAUAUGAAAAGGACACGCCAUCUACUACUCUGGAAGUCGAAGAGCAUCAAGUGUCGGCUCCAGUCGCAGAUCGCGACUCAAGUGGAACAGCGUCAGCUGUGGAUCAGAAGCGGGUGCUGCGGUCAAGGUCAAAGGUCAAUUCAGCCUCAGGGAAAUAACAGGGUGUAUGCUUAGUCCCUUUUUGUUUCAUUUUUUUAUAAACUGAUUGGUUGAAAUUUAGAAAUUGUCCGAUUUCAUUCAAAUUUCGUAUAUUGACAUGUUAUGAGACUCCGUAUUUUUACCGUGUCCAUGGAAAGGAGGUCUCUGAUUGCUCCUUUAAAUACUCUACCCUAUUUCGUAUAAUCUUCAAAAAACGGAGGUUGCGAUUAUG
Haliotis rufescens (red abalone) is the source of this 750-nucleotide long non-coding RNA. RefSeq lists it as uncharacterized. The record is from RefSeq and is a predicted model, not a curated record. The transcript has 4 exons. NCBI's taxonomy places the organism in Eukaryota, Metazoa, Mollusca, Gastropoda, Lepetellida, Haliotidae.